AAAUAAAUAAGAUAUAGGAUUCCACUAUGUAUGGUCUAUGAAUUACAUCAUAAAAGGCAAUGUGAUAAAGCAUCAAUAUAAUAAAAAUAAUAGAGAAUUAAAAAUUUUAACUUGAAACAAGAACUACAAAUUUAAAGCAAUAAUAAAGAGCCGCCCGGGUUAAUAAAACUGAGAAAAUUAACUCGGAAAGAAAUUUUUUGGAAGCUCCGUUGCGGGAUUCAGACCUAACCAUUCAAGGAGAAGCAGUGGGAACGACAGAACCUAUGAUUCCAUAGGAUUUUAUUGAAAAGAAUCCUAACACUUCAUUGGGUGGGAUGGCGGAACAAACCAAAAAAAUUGUCUUAUUUGGUAAGUUUAUAAAUUAACAAAUAAGACAGGAAAGAGUAAAUAUUCGCCCGCGAAAUUCUUAUUGAAUUAGAAUACUUUACCGCGAUUCAAUAAGAGUAAAAAUAAGGAUUUUUUUAAGAAGGAUUACAUUAUCUAUAAAUAUAGAAUUUAGAUAAAUAUACACACACAUCUGGAUAUAUUCUAGAUCUUCUUUUUUGACUAUAUAUUAUAUUUUUCUGUUUUAACAAAUUCAAUAUAAAAAAACCGAACUUUUUCUAUUAUCUAUUAAUGUGUAUCUAUCCGUACCGUAAUAUUUUUGAAUAUUAUGAAUUAGAGAAAUUUACAUGCUUUCUCAUUCCAUUCGCGAGGAGCUGGAUGAGAAGAAACUCUCAUGUCCAGUUUUGCAGUAGAGAUGGAACUAAGAAAGAGAACCAUCGACUAUAACCCCAAAAGAACCAGAUUUCGCAAACCACAUAGAGGAAGAAUGAAAGGAAAAUCUUGCCGAGGCAAUCGUAUUUGUUUUGGUAGAUAUGCUCUUCAAGCACUUGAACCCCCUUGGAUCACGGCGAGACAGAUAGAAGCAGGACGAAGAGCAAUAACACGAUAUGCACGUCGUGGUGGAAAAAUAUGGGUACGUAUAUUUCCCGACAAACCGGUUACACUAAGACCCACGGAAACACGUAUGGGCUCGGGAAAGGGGUCCCCCGAAUAUUGGGUAUCCGUUGUUAAACCUGGUCGUAUACUUUAUGAAAUGGGGGGAGUAUCUGAAACUGUAGCUAGAGCAGCUAUCUCCAUAGCUGCCAGUAAAAUGCCCAUACGAAGUCAAUUUAUUCGAUUAGAGAUAUAGAACCCUAAAAGGGGUAUGGAAGAUAAAAAAAAAUGCCCGGUUUUUCUUUCUGGAAAGACAAUAUUUCUUUCAUCCUUUUGCAUUGAAAUAACAAAUUGAAAUCAAAAUAAAAAAUAAUAUGAUUCAACCUCAGACCCUUUUAAAUGUAGCAGAUAAUAGUGGAGCUCGAAAAUUGAUGUGUAUUCGAGUCAUAGGAGCUNNNNNNNNNNAAAGGGCUCGAAUAGAAAAAUAGAAUCAGACUCAAGUUCCGAAGUAAUUACACAUAAUAGAAAAAUGGACUCAGGUUCAAGUUCCGAAGUAAUUACACAUAUAGAAAUCCAAAAAGAAAUCGAUACGAUCCACGUCAUAAUCCAUAUUGGAUUCCCAAAUUUAUUAAAGAAAAAAGGAGCAAUCGAAGAAUUAGAGAAAGAUCUACAAAAGGAAAUUAACUCUGUAAACCAGAGAUUUAAUAUUUCUAUCGAAAAAGUGAAAGAACCUUAUAGACAGCCUAACAUUCUUGCAGAAUAUAUAGCUUUCCAAUUAAAAAAUAGAGUUUCAUUCCGAAAGGCAAUGAAAAAAGCCAUUGAAUUAACUAAAAAAGCAGAUAUAAGGGGAGUAAAAGUAAAAAUUGCGGGUCGUCUCGGAGGAAAAGAAAUUGCACGCGCCGAAUCUAUUAAAAAGGGUAGACUUCCCCUCCAAACAAUUCACGCUAAAAUUGAUUAUUGCUGCUAUCCAAUUCGGACUAUCUAUGGAGUAUUAGGUGUAAAAAUUUGGAUAUUCGUAGACGAAGAAUAAGUAAUCUUGUCUUUGGAUUCUGUCCAUUGAUAGAAUAAAAAAUGACAAGAGACUUUUUUCCUGAAAUCCCUGCAAAAGAAGAAAUUAUACCUCUUUCUAUAAGAUUUAAUGAAAAUUGAUAAAUCAUUUAAUAUAAUUGCUAUGCUUAGUGUGUGACUCGUUAUUUUUUUCUUUUUUUUAAGAAAAAAACUUAGUAAUUAUAGAAAAUUAACUAAUAACCAACCUAUUGCUUCGUAUUGUCGAGAUCCUAACUAAGAAACAGUCACUAUAUGAAUAAAUACCUCUAUCAUAAAUGAGUAGAUGUGUCAUAUAGUUGUAGCAACUGCAAUUUUUUCUCUAAAAAAGAAAAGGGAUUCUAGGUUGUGAAGCAAAACUAAAGGGAUGUGGAUAAAGGGAGGGAUGAUAGAAAGAAGGAAGAUGAAAUAAAUAAGAUAUAGGAUUCCACUAUGUAUGGUCUAUGAAUUACAUCAUAAAAGGCAAUGUGAUAAAGCAUCAAUAUAAUAAAAAUAAUAGAGAAUUAAAAAUUGUAACUUGAAACAAGAACUACAAAUUUAAAGCAAUAAUAAAGAGCCGCCCGGGUUAAUAAAACUGAGAAAAUUAACUCGGAAAGAAAUUUUUUGGAAGCUCCGUUGCGGGAUUCAGACCUAACCAUUCAAGGAGAAGCAGUGGGAACGACAGAACCUAUGAUUCCAUAGGAUUUUAUUGAAAAGAAUCCUAACACUUCAUUGGGUGGGAUGGCGGAACAAACCAAAAAAAUUGUCUUAUUUGGUAAGUUUAUAAAUUAACAAAUAAGACAGGAAAGAGUAAAUAUUCGCCCGCGAAAUUCUUAUUGAAUUAGAAUACUUUACCGCGAUUCAAUAAGAGUCAAAAUAAGGAUUUUUUUAAGAAGGAUUACAUUAUCUAUAAAUAUAGAAUUUAGAUAAAUAUACACACACAUCUGGAUAUAUUCUAGAUCUUCUUUUUUAACUAUAUAUUAUAUUUUUCUGUUUUAACAAAUUCAAUAUAAAAAAAACCGAACUUUUUCUAUUAUCUAUUAAUGUGUAUCUAUCCGUACCGUAAUAUUUUGGAAUAUUAUGAAUUAGAUAAAUUUACAUGCUUUCUCAUUCCAUUCGCGAGGAGCUGGAUGAGAAGAAACUCUCAUGUCCAGUUUUGCAGUAGAGAUGGAACUAAGAAAGAGAACCAUCGACUAUAACCCCAAAAGAACCAGAUUUCGCAAACAACAUAGAGGAAGAAUGAAAGGAAAAUCCUGCCGAGGCAAUCGUAUUUGUUUUGGUAGAUAUGCUCUUCAAGCACUUGAACCCGCUUGGAUCACGGCGAGACAGAUAGAAGCAGGACGAAGAGCAAUAACACGAUAUGCACGUCGUGGUGGAAAAAUAUGGGUACGUAUAUUUCCCGACAAACCGGUUACACUAAGACCCACGGAAACACGUAUGGGCUCGGGAAAGGGGUCCCCCGAAUAUUGGGUAUCCGUUGUUAAACCUGGUCGUAUACUUUAUGAAAUGGGGGGAGUAUCUGAAACUGUAGCUAGAGCAGCUAUCUCCAUAGCUGCCAGUAAAAUGCCCAUACGAAGUCAAUUUAUUCGAUUAGAGAUAUAGAACCCUAAAAGGGGUAUGGAAGAUAAAAAAAAAUGCCCGGUUUUUCUUUCUGGAAAGACAAUAUUUCUUUCAUCCUUUUGCAUUGAAAUAACAAAUUGAAAUCAAAAUAAAAAAUAAUAUGAUUCAACCUCAGACCCUUUUAAAUGUAGCAGAUAAUAGUGGAGCUCGAAAAUUGAUGUGUAUUCGAGUCAUAGGAGCUACUGGUAAUCAGCGAUAUGCUCGUAUUGGUGAUGUUAUUGUUGCUGUAAUCAAAGACGCAUUGCCCCAAAUGCCUCUAGAAAGAUCCGAAGUAAUUCGAGCUGUAAUUGUACGUACAUGUAAAGAGUUCAAAUGCGAAGACGGUAUAAUAAUCCGCUAUGAUGACAAUGCUGCGGUUAUAAUUGAUCAAAAAGGCAAUCCAAAAGGAACUCGAGUUUUUGGCGCGAUUGCCGAGGAAUUGAGAGAAUUGAAUUUUACCAAAAUAGUUUCAUUAGCUCCUGAAGUAUUAUAAAUACUAGUAGGCGAAAUUGAGACCAAAGAAUUAAUUUAGUAGAUUGUGUUUUACGUAUAUGUUUUAAAAUCCAAAAUCAAAAAAAAAAGAAAACAUGUUGAUUAUAGAAAAAUUAGGAGGAACCUAGAAUUAGAGUCUUAUGGGCAAGGACACUAUUGCUGAUUUACUAACCUCUAUAAGAAAUGCGGACAUGAAUAAAAAAGGAACAGUUCGAGUAGUAUCUACAAAUAUUACCGAAAACAUUGUUAAAAUACUUCUACGAGAGGGUUUUAUUGAAAGUGUUCGGAAACAUCAGGAACGUAACAGAUAUUUCUUGGUUUCAACUUUGCGACAUCAAAAGAGAAAGACUAGAAAAGGAAUAUAUAGAACAAGAACCUUUUUAAAGCGUAUCAGCCGACCCGGCUUACGAAUUUAUACCAACUAUCAAGGAAUUCCUAAAGUUUUGGGUGGAAUGGGAAUUGCUAUUCUUUCUACUUCUCGAGGAAUAAUGACAGAUCGAGAAGCUCGACUAAACAGAAUUGGGGGAGAAGUCUUAUGUUAUAUAUGGUAAUCGCCCCGCCUAUAGUGCUUGAAUUCUAUCUCGCCCUUCCUAUUUUUAAAAUAAAAAUAGAAAAAUAGGAGAAAAAAAAUAUGACAGAAAAAAAAAUAGGAGAGAAAAAAAAACCCGAGAGAAGCAAAAGUAACUUUCGAAGGUUUAGUUACGGAAGCCCUACCCAAUGGAAUGUUCCGCGUUCGGCUAGAGAAUGACACCAUCAUCCUAGGCUAUAUUUCAGGAAAGAUACGGUCUAGUUCUAUACGAAUACUGAUGGGGGAUAGGGUCAAAAUUGAAGUAAGUCGUUAUGAUUCAAGCAAGGGACGUAUAAUUUAUAGACUUCCCCAUAAGGAUUCGAAGCGUAUCGAAGACUCGAAGGAUAGCGAAGAUUUGAAGGAUAGCAAAGAUUUGAAGGAUACCAAAGAUUCAAAGGAUUAGGUUUUUCUUUUUUUUCUAGGGUAAUAAAUUCUAAGUUCUAAAAUUCAAGCGAAGAUACUUAUUUUUUCCAAAAGAUUAGAUUCAUAGUUUAAAAAAGGAUACGGAAAUAUGAAAAUAAGAGCUUCCGUUCGUAAAAUUUGUACAAAAUGUCGACUGAUUCGUAGGCGUGGACGAAUUAGAGUCAUUUGCUCUAAUCCGAAGCAUAAACAAAGACAGGGGUAAUCUUUCGAAAAAGAACUUUACUUUCUAAAAAGUAAAAAAAAGUACCCGCGGAAAUGUUCCAAUUCCAAAUAAAAUAAUUUCAUUUAAAAUAAUUAAAGUAAAGGGUUUAUUUUACCCUGAAACGGAUAUCUUUGUAUCUUUUUUUAUUUUUUUUAUUUCUAACUCAUAUUUAUGAGAUAAUAAAAUAUGGCAAAAGCUAUACCAAAAAUUGGUUCACGUAAGAAAGUGCGUAUUGGUUUACGUAGGAAUGCACGUUUUAGUUUACGGAAGAGUGCACGUAGAAUAACAAAAGGGGUUAUUCAUGUUCAAGCUAGUUUCAACAAUACCAUUAUAACUGUUACAGACCCACAAGGUCGGGUGGUUUUUUGGUCCUCGGCCGGUACUUGUGGAUUCAAAAGCUCAAGAAAAGCAUCACCCUAUGCUGGUCAAAGAACAGCAGUAGAUGCUAUUCGUACAGUAGGUUUGCAACGAGCAGAAGUUAUGGUAAAGGGCGCUGGUAGUGGAAGAGAUGCCGCAUUACGAGCCAUUGCUAAAAGUGGUGUGCGAUUAAGUUGUAUACGCGAUGUAACACCUAUGCCACAUAAUGGAUGUCGACCGCCUAAAAAAAGACGUCUGUAAAAGAAUUAACCCGCUUUCAACUUUCAUUUCAAGAGAAAUAAACGAUUCAAUGAUAAAAUAAUAAUACUAGUCUAUUAUGGUUCGAGAGGAGGUAGCAGGAUCCACUCAAACACUACAGUGGCAGUGUGUUGAAUCAAGAGUAGAUAGUAAGCGCCUUUAUUAUGGUCGUUUCAUUCUGUCCCCGCUUAGAAAAGGUCAAGCGGACACCGUCGGUAUUGCCUUGCGAAGAGCUUUACUUGGAGAAAUAGAAGGAACAUGUAUCACACGUGCAAAAUUUGGGAGCGUGCCGCACGAGUAUUCUACAAUAGCAGGUAUUGAAGAAUCCGUACAAGAAAUUUUACUAAAUUUGAAAGAAAUUGUAUUGAGAAGUAAUCUCUAUGGAGUUAGAGACGCAUCCAUUUGCGUCAAAGGUCCUAGAUACAUAACUGCUCAAGAUAUCAUCUUACCGCCUUCCGUAGAAAUCGUUGAUACGGCACAACCUAUAGCUAACUUGACAGAGCCCAUUGAUUUCUGUAUUGAUUUACAGAUCAAGAGAGAUCGUGGAUAUCAGACAGAACUCAGAAAGAACUAUCAAGAUGGAAGUUAUCCUAUAGAUGUUGUAUCCAUGCCUGUUCGAAAUGUGAAUUAUAGUAUUUUUUCUUGUGGGAAUGGAAAUGAAAAACACGAGAUACUUUUUCUAGAAAUAUGGACUAAUGGAAGUUUAACCCCUAAGGAAGCACUUUAUGAGGCUUCUCGUAAUUUGAUUGAUUUAUUUCUUCCUUUUCUACACGCGGAGGAAGAGGGCGCUAGUUUCGAAGAAAAUAAAAACAGGUUUACUCCACCCCUU
This 6669-nucleotide long non-coding RNA is filed under the name Triticum aestivum (bread wheat). The record is from RNAcentral. Lineage: Eukaryota; Viridiplantae; Streptophyta; Magnoliopsida; Poales; Poaceae.